Long non-coding RNA from Magnolia sinica, 709 nucleotides. RefSeq lists it as uncharacterized. Lineage: Eukaryota; Viridiplantae; Streptophyta; Magnoliopsida; Magnoliales; Magnoliaceae. The transcript is spliced from 2 exons. The record is from RefSeq and is a predicted model, not a curated record.
GGGUAAUGAAAGAAGAUUGACGGGUCGUCAUGAAACUGCAGAUAGCCUCACAUUUUCUUGGGUAAAGAUAUUGGCCGGAGCGGUGUUUGGUUCAAAAUAAUGUGAUAUUGGCUGCUAUUCAUGGUGGUCCGCACUUGGUGAACAACCCAAAAAUGAGCCCUUCGCUGAUGAUAUUCCACAGUUUGAGGUCCCUAUUGCUGUGAUCCAUCCUGUUCCAAGUCCAGUAAGAAAUGAAAGUAUUUUUAUUUCUCUUGAUGUGGGCUCAUCUGUUCUGCAUUUUUCAGCUAAGACACAUCAUUCAUUCCCCUUCUUACAAUUAGGAUACAAAGAUACUCCAAAUAGUUAACAUAUUUGCAUUUUACAUCAUCCUAUACUUCAAUUUCAAGUGUAAAUAUGAAACUCAUGGCAUUUCAAUGUUGCAAGUGGUACAAUAGACCAGUCGGUGCCGUGUGUGAGGUUCCAAAGGGAGCCACAGGGGUUGUUUAAUGACUGAUGCUAUGCAUUUCAGCAGUUGGCAGUUUCUUUCCAACUGGCAACCAAUCACGUCCAGAAAGCACUUAAAUUUUUAAUUGAUUGUUUUGUUUGCUUCUCCAACUGGAAAUUGGCACUGUUUAUGGUCUUCAAUCAUUAUAUAGCCCAUGUUGCAUGAGAAUGCCAUUAACACUUAAAGAAAGAAGGCAAAUGGAAUGCUUCAGUUUUGUCUGCUUCA